AAUUUACGCCCUCCUGCGGAUUUCUGGACUUGAAAAAGGCCACGCGUUGCGCGUGGCCUUUUCUUUUUGGGCGG
This 74-nucleotide unclassified non-coding RNA is filed under the name Albimonas pacifica. Its description in RNAcentral is "suhB". The record is from RNAcentral. Lineage: Bacteria; Pseudomonadati; Pseudomonadota; Alphaproteobacteria; Rhodobacterales; Paracoccaceae.